AUCUUUAAACUCAUUUCAAGAUCAUCAAGCUGUUCAUUGAGAAAACGAUUUUUCAAAAAAACCUUUCGAGGUCUCUCGUCUCUUUUUUUCUUCUCCUCAUUUCUUCUCUUUAUCUUUCUCUUUAGACUAGAAGGAUAGCAUCUGCAUCCACCCAACAGUCCAUCCAAGAAGCAAACCAGCACCAACAAGACUCAUCCCCAAAGCUAAACCAACCGCGUACUUAGCUCCAUUCGGUUUACCCCUUUUGCUUCUUCUCUUUCUCCCCAGUUUUCUUGCUUUCCCAUUGCUCCAACAAGGGAUGGGAACCAUUGGCUCGUUGCUGUCCUUGUUCUCAAUCUUCUUGUUCUUGAUUUGGAGGUAAAGUGCUUCGAGCUGAAGCAGUUGUAACCACUGCUUAUACCCGAAAAGCUCUGAGGCUUGCUUGAACAAGAUCUUCACCAAGUGCUCUUUCUCUGCAUAAGCUUCUUUAGCCAUGUUCUCCGCUUCCCUAGCCCGCGUUUGGGAAUGCCUCAGCGCUUCCAGUAGCUCGGAUUUGCUUAGAUCAGACUCAGACGAAGCCUCUGUUCUGUUCUUGCAGCUGCUUCCUCUGCUCGGCCCGUGCUCGUGGAUGGUUUGGCCAGAGACAGAGUAGUCUCUGAAUCCAUCAGAAUCAAAACCACGCGGACUACCAUAAUAAGAUCGUUUCAUCUUAUGUGGUGUUGGUAAAUCACAAUUCUCAACAUAGUCUAGCGAUCUUUGUGCAACCAAUGAAGCUAACUCGUCUUUAUCCGUAGUUCGCCACCACGGUCCAGCUUUCUCGCUCGAGAGUGGAUUCCAAGGCGAGCUGGGAUCAAAAGAGAGCUCACUUAACUUUUUCUCAGAGGACUCAUCAUAACUUUCCCUUGUUUCCCCCAACUCUAUAAACUCUUGAAAGCUUUCGGAAUUAAAAGACUUUCCUUGUUUCUCUCCAGAUCCCAGUUCAGACUUCUUCUCAGAUACACCUUGACUGUUAACCUCAGCCUCCAAAGGCAUCUUAUACACCUGAAAGUGAUGAUGAUGAUGACUCCACAAUCUGGUGUUGUGGGGUAACAGAUCAGGGAAAUUCGGGUUUCGAUGAAGAGGCAUGGAACCUGCACAAGAUGAUUGCUUCCGUGGAUCAACAGAAACUCGAGGAGACGAACCAGAAUCGUCAACUUGCUUAGUUGAAGGAGUAGUUGAGGAGGAGGAUGAAGAUUGGCAAUAGGUUAACUUGGGAGCUCUUUUAGCGUCUUCUUGGACAAAGCAACGGUUAACAGUUCUUUGCCACACUGCUCUUGCUUCAGCUGCUGCCAUUAUUUCACCAUAACUCUGAAGAAACACAAGAGAUUGAGAAUCAAAUUCAAGAUCAAUGUGAUUCAGAAAUUAGGCAGUCUUAUUAACCGUUUUGAAUCUAUUCAUAGGAAGACAAAAAAUGAAUCAUUUCUUUCAAAGGAAGAAUCUUUCUGAUUGCCGACAGAUCCAUCACCAAAAAGCCUAUCAAAAACUCCUUUUUAAACAAUAAGAGAAUCUCAUGUUUUGCUUUAAUGGAAAACUGAAGAAUUAGUU
Molecule: long non-coding RNA, 1563 nt
Filed under: Arabidopsis lyrata
Lineage: Eukaryota; Viridiplantae; Streptophyta; Magnoliopsida; Brassicales; Brassicaceae
Description: long non-coding RNA (ALYR_LNC002196)
Source: RNAcentral